Molecule: non-coding RNA, 1160 nt
Organism: Meleagris gallopavo (turkey)
Lineage: Eukaryota; Metazoa; Chordata; Aves; Galliformes; Phasianidae
Source: RefSeq, a predicted model, not a curated record
GCAGUAGACACAAAGAUAUCUUGCUGAAGAUCCCUAUGUACCUGAAGUCUUCUGAAAGUAUCGCUUGCAUUUCAGGGUGAAUUCUGAAGAUAAAUGCACAACUUUCAGAUCAGCUGGAGAAGGUACCUUAGAAACUCUCCAAAGACUUGUGAAGUGGUCCAUUCAUCUUAAUGAGAUGCUGCCGAGCAAAUGAGGACAUGUCAGGGAUAUGAGUACAGAUGGAAGAUAUCCCUGGGAUGUCUGCACUGCUCCAUUCAUUUAGGAGGCUCUUACUGUAUUUUCAUCUCUUGUGAGCUUGCUAGUAAUUAGAGCAUAAAAUUUUAUUUUUAGAUAAUUUUACAUUAUUCUGAUACCUAUAGUCCAAUGUAUUUUUUUAGGACUGCUAUGUGCAUGCACUGGAGAGAGAAAAAGGAACUUGGUUUAUUUACCAUAAACAAAAUAAAAUGCCUGAGUUACUCUUGCAUAGUAUUGCACUAAAAACCUGAAUAAAUGAAUGCAAGUAAUUCCGUUUUCGCUUGAAUAAUGUCUUCAUACAGUAUCUCCUGGCUAACACCUAUGCUAGGCCACUUGACGUGUGUAAGACCCUGACAUGUUUUCAUCAGCAUAACUUCAACCAGCGAGAGAAUCUUUACCAAUAAAUAAAUUAGUCUUUGCUGUCUGCCUCAUAUUCUAAGUCUUUUCUUUGUUCUAGUUUCUGUCUUCCAAUUUUCUUCUUUACUAAGAUGUUUAUAGUUAUUUUCUCCUAAUUGGCAAUUAUUUUAUAUUGUGUAGUACUAGAAGUGUGCUAGGCAAUAGCAAACAUUUUACAUCUCCAACUAUUUAAAUUUCCAAUACACUUUAUUUCACUUAGCAAUUUUAGAAUUUAUCAUUUAGCUUUACCAACUGCACACUAGAAUCCUUGAAUUCUGUUCAAUUUACUCCACAGCUUUGUUAUAUUGCUUGACAUCCCUCUGUAUAAAACAUGCUGUCAUUUAAAUUAUGGAUGCUUCCGCUGCUUCUUUGUAGCACUUACUCUUUUAAGUUUUACAGUGUACACCUUCAGGUAAAAUAAAUUCAACUUUGCUUAGUGUGAUCAAAGAGCAGGCAAGGCUUCAACUGGAGUGAAGAUCAGCUUCAUAUUUAGUGCUGUCAACGCACAGGUUGUAUUAUCUGGAUUGUUC